This 88-nucleotide transfer RNA is filed under the name Fervidobacterium sp. RNAcentral's name for it is "tRNA-Leu". It matches the Rfam family "tRNA". Rfam says of the family: Transfer RNA (tRNA) molecules are approximately 80 nucleotides in length. Their secondary structure includes four short double-helical elements and three loops (D, anti-codon, and T loops). The record is from RNAcentral. Lineage: Bacteria; Thermotogati; Thermotogota; Thermotogae; Thermotogales; Fervidobacteriaceae.
GCCGAGGUGGCGGAAUUGGCAGACGCGGUUGACUCAAAAUCAACAGAGGUUAGGCCUCGUGCGGGUUCAAGUCCCGCCCUCGGCACCA